This 465-nucleotide ribosomal RNA is filed under the name uncultured Veillonella sp. RNAcentral's name for it is "bacterial SSU rRNA". It matches the Rfam family "Bacterial small subunit ribosomal RNA", at positions 338 to 795 of the family's 1533-position model. Lineage: Bacteria; Bacillati; Bacillota; Negativicutes; Veillonellales; Veillonellaceae. The record is from RNAcentral.
CCUACGGGAGGCAGCAGUGGGGAAUCUUCCGCAAUGGACGAAAGUCUGACGGAGCAACGCCGCGUGAGUGAUGACGGCCUUCGGGUUGUAAAGCUCUGUUAAUCGGGACGAAAGGCCUUCUUGCGAAUAGUUAGAAGGAUUGACGGUACCGGAAUAGAAAGCCACGGCUAACUACGUGCCAGCAGCCGCGGUAAUACGUAGGUGGCAAGCGUUGUCCGGAAUUAUUGGGCGUAAAGCGCGCGCAGGCGGAUCAGUCAGUCUGUCUUAAAAGUUCGGGGCUUAACCCCGUGAGGGGAUGGAAACUGCUGAUCUAGAGUAUCGGAGAGGAAAGUGGAAUUCCUAGUGUAGCGGUGAAAUGCGUAGAUAUUAGGAAGAACACCAGUGGCGAAGGCGACUUUCUGGACGAAAACUGACGCUGAGGCGCGAAAGCCAGGGGAGCGAACGGGAUUAGAUACCCCAGUAGUC